AAUAAUGACUUUCUUUUAUUUCCAAUUCUACCAAAGAGGACAGAAGAAGCAGCCCAAAGUAAAAGACUUGAAGAAAUAUAGGCAAUGUAAGUAGGAUUAAGUGAUUUUGCUGUUUGUGGCGUUUCCUCGAAGUAGCUGGUUACCUCCAAAUGGGACGACAGUCAUGGAUGUUGAGAUGGCCUACGUCGCAGACUCGCGAGGACGGGCGGCUCAGAUGUUCGCUAGCGACCUACGACAGCUACAGGCUUACUGCCUAUGCCUGUAGAAGGGGACUUUGAGAUGUCAUGCUGAAGUUUUCUGGAGAUUAUCUGGUUUCAUUUUUGGGAAGCAGUCCACAUGGAAAAAUGACGCAGCCAAACUAAAGAUACGCUGGAUUGGUUCUUUCUAAUGUCUCUGUUAUUAAGAAGCAGGAAAAAUUGAAGAAUAAGAGCGGGAAAAUGUCAAAUUUACUUGGUCUACAACAAAGAAACCCUUUUAUUUGAUUGCUGUUCAUUCAUAUACAAGUUCACAGACAAGUCCUUCAACAAUGAGAAAAUGUUUAAAAAAUUGUACUUAAAAAUGUUUUGAUUUGUGUACAUUAAUCUGAAUAAUAAUGACUUUCUUUUAUUUCCAAUUCUACCAAAGAGGACAGAAGAAGCAGCUCAAAGUGAAAGACUUGAAGAAAUAUAGGCAAUGUAAGUAGGAUUAAGUGAUUUUGCUGUUUGUGGCGUUUCCCGAAGUAGCUGGUUACCUCCAAAUGGGACGACAGUCAUGGAUGUUGAGAUGGCCUACGUCGCAGAACUCGCGAGGACGGGCGGCUGGGAUGUUCGCUAGCGACCUACGACAGCUACAGGCUUUCUGCCUAUGCCUGUAGGAAGGGGACUUUGAGAUGUCAUGCUGAAGUUUUCUGGAGAUUAUCUGGUUUCAUUUUUUUGGGAAGCAGUCCACAUGGAAAAAUGAUGCAGCCUAACUAAAAGAUAUGCUCGAUUGGUUCUUUCUAAUGUCCCUGUUAUUAAGAAGCAGGAAAAAUUGAAGAAUAAGAGAGGGGAAAUGUCAAAUUUACUUGGUCUACAACAAAGAAACCCUUUUAUUUUAUUGCUGUUCUUCAUAUACAAGUUCACAGACAAGUCCUUCAACAAUGAGAAAAUGUUUAAAAAAAAUUGUGUAUAAAAAUGUUCAGCUGUUUCUUACAGAGUUAUCUCCUUAGUGUUAUGUAGGUGUCAGACCACCAUUACUCCCUCAAAUUUUGAACGUAUGUAAAAGUAGGCCUACUGUAACACAAAUAGUGCUUUUGAUGUCAUUGUUUACUUAAUUUUAACCAACAAAUUUGCAAAAUGAAACUUUUGGUGAAAGAGAAAUAUAUUUCGACCAUUUUGAGCUAAAAUUCACUUGUCUGUCAGUUUUGCAUUAAAAAUUUGGGAUUAAUGCGCUCUAUAGAAGUACACUAAUUUAAGAUUUCCAGAAAACCAGGGUUAUUUUUGGAGUACCGCUGUUUGAAGGUCAGAUGUACCACCUUAAUAGUCGAAUUUUGUAACAGAAUAUUAAAUUAAUCUUAAUUUGAAAACAAUUUGAUAUUGACAGAACAAAUAUCAAAUGAUCAUUUCAGAAAUACAUUGUGCUUCAAGUGCAAAGACUUUUCUAACAAUUAACAGUUGUUUUCUGAGCUAGUUCUGAUUGGUCAGGUUUUAUUGUCUGUUCUUGCUUUUGUUCUAUGGAUAGUUCAGUGGGUAUCUUUUUUUUCAGGAUAUGGUGUGCGUUAUUCAAAGGGAUUUUUUAUGUAAUUUUGAAAUGAUAUACAUUGAUAUUUGAUAGUAAUUGACCGAUUCAAUCACAAAAAACAUUCUUAUAAAGAAACCCUUUUAUUUUAUUGCUGUUCUUCAUAUUCAAGUUGACAGACAAGUCCUUCAACAAUGAGAAAAUGUAUCAAAAAAAAAUUGUUUAUAAAAUGUUUUGGUUUGUGUACAUUAAUCUGAAUAAUAAUGACUUUCUUUUAUUUCCAAAUUCUUACCAAAGAGCACGAGAAAGCAGCCCAAAGUAAAAGACUUGAAGAAAUAUAGCAAAUGUAAGUAGGAUUAAAAGUGAUUUUGCUGUUUGUGGCGUUUCCUCGAAGUAGCUGGUUACCUCCAAAUGGGACGACAGUCAUGGAUGUUGAGAUGGCCUACGUCGCAGACUCGCGAGGACGGGCGGCUCAGAUGUUCGCUAGCGACCUACGACAGCUACAGGCUUACUGCCUAUGCCUGUAGAAGGGGACUUUGAGAUGUCAUGCUGAAGUUUUCUGGAGAUUAUCUGGUUUCAUUUUUGGGAAGCAGUCCACAUGGAAAAAUGACGCAGCCAAACUAAAGAUACGCUGGAUUGGUUCUUUCUAAUGUCUCUGUUAUUAAGAAGCAGGAAAAAUUGAAGAAUAAGAGCGGGAAAAUGUCAAAUUUAGCAAAGAAAUUCUUUUAUUUUAUUGCUGUUCUUCAUAUACAAGUUCACAGACAAGUCCUUCAACAAUGAGAAAAUGUAUAUAAAUUUUGUGAUUUGUGUACAUGUAUCUGAAUAAGUAAUGACUUUCUUUAAUUCCCAAUUCCUACCAAAGAGGACAGAAGAAGCAGCUCAAAGUGAUAAGACUUGAAGAAAUAAUAGGCAAUAUGUAAGUUAGGGAUAAUGUUGAAUUUUGCUGUUUGUGUGUCGUUUCUCGAAGUAGCUGUUACCUCAAAUGGGACGACAGUCAUGGAUGUUGAGAUGGCCUACGUCGCAGACUCGCCGAGGACGUGCGGCUUGGGAUGUUCCUAGCCGACCUACGACAGCUACAGGCUUUUGGCCUAUGCCUGUAGAAGGGGACUUUGAGAUGUUUCAGCUGAAGUUUUCUGGAGAUUAUCUGGUUUCAUUUUUUGGAAGCAUCCACAUGGAAAAAUGGAUGCAGCCAAACUAAAGAUAUGCUCGAUUGGUUCUUUCUAAUGUCCCUGUUAUUAAGAAGCAGGAAAAAUUGAAGAAUAAGAGAGGGGAAAUGUCAAAUUUACUUGGUCUACAACAAAGAAACCCUUUUAUUUUAUUGCUGUUCUUCAUAUACAAGUUCACAGACAAGUCCUUCAACAAUGAGAAAAUGUUUAAAAAAAAUUGUGUAUAAAAAUGUUCAGCUGUUUCUUACAGAGUUAUCUCCUUAGUGUUAUGUAGGUGUCAGACCACCAAUUACUCCCUCAAAUUUUGAACGUAUGUAAAAGUAGGCCUACUGUAACACAAAAUAGUGCUUUUGAUGUCAUUGUUUACUUAAUUUAACCAACAAAUUUGCAGAAAUGAAACUUUUGGUGAAAGAGAAAUAUAUUUCGACCAUUUUGAGCUAAAAUUCACUUGUCUGUCAGUUUGCAUUAAAAAUUUUGGGAUUAAUGCGCUCUUAUAGUACACUAAUUUAAGAUUUCCAGAAAACCAGGGGUUAUUUUUGGAGUACCGCUGUUUUGAAGGUCAGAUGUACCACCUUAAUAGUCGAAUUUUGUAACAGAAUAUUAAAUUAAUCUUAAUUUGAAAACAAUUUGAUAUUGACAGAACAAAUAUCAAAUGAUCAUUUCAGAAAUACAUAAUUGUGCUUCAAGUGCAAAGACUUUUCUAACAAUUAACAGUUGUUUUCUGAGCUAGUUCUGAUUGGUCAGGUUUUAUUGUCUGUUUCUUGCUUUUGUUCUAUGGAUAGUUCAGUGGUAUCUUUUUUUUUCAGGAUAUGGUGUGCGUUAUUCAAAGGGAUCUUUUUAUGUAAUUUUGAAAUGAUAUACAUUUGAUAUUUGAUAGUAAUUGACCGAUUCAAUCCACAAAAAAACAUUCUUAUAAAGAAACCCUUUUAUUUUAUUGCUGUUCUUCAUAUUCAAGUUGACAGACAAGUCCUUCAACAAUGAGAAAAUGUAUCAAAAAAAUUGUUUAUAAAAAUGUUUUGGUUUGUGUACAUUAAUCUGAAUAAUAAUGACUUUCUUUUAUUUCCAAUUCUACCAAAGAGGACAGAAGAAGCAGCCCAAAGUGAAAGACUUGAAGAAAUAUAGGCAAUGUAAGUAGGAUUAAGUGAUUUUGCUGUUUGUGGCGUUUCCUCGAAGUAGCUGGUUACCUCCAAAUGGGACGACAGUCAUGGAUGUUGAGAUGGCCUACGUCGCAGACUCGCGAGGACGGGCGGCUCAGAUGUUCGCUAGCGACCUACGACAGCUACAGGCUUACUGCCUAUGCCUGUAGAAGGGGACUUUGAGAUGUCAUGCUGAAGUUUUCUGGAGAUUAUCUGGUUUCAUUUUUGGGAAGCAGUCCACAUGGAAAAAUGACGCAGCCAAACUAAAGAUACGCUGGAUUGGUUCUUUCUAAUGUCUCUGUUAUUAAGAAGCAGGAAAAAUUGAAGAAUAAGAGCGGGAAAAUGUCAAAUUUACUUGGUCUACAACAAAGAAACCCUUUUAUUUGAUUGCUGUUCAUCAUAUACAAGUUCACAGACAAGUCCUUCAACAAUGAGAAAAUGUUUUAAAAAAAUUGUACUUAAAAAUGUUUUGAUUUGUGUACAUUAAUCUGAAUAAUAAUGACUUUCUUUUAUUUCCAAUUCUACCAAAGAGGACAGAAGAAGCAGCCCAAAGUGAAAGACUUGAAGAAAUAUAGGCAAUGUAAGUAGGAUUAAGUGAUUUUGCUGUUUGUGGCGUUUCCUCGAAGUAGCUGGUUACCUCCAAAUGGACGACAGUCAUGGAUGUUGAGAUGGCCUACGUCGCAGACUCGCGAGGACGGGCGGCUGGGAUGUUCGCUAGCGACCUACGACAGCUACAGGCUUUCUGCCUAUGCCUGUAGAAGGGGACUUUGAGAUGUCAUGCUGAAGUUUUCUGGAGAUUAUCUGGUUUCAUUUUUGGGAAGCAGUCCACAUGGAAAAAUGAUGCAGCCAAACUAAAGAUAUGCUCGAUUGGUUCUUUCUAAUGUCCCUGUUAUUAAGAAGCAGGAAAAAUUGAAGAAUAAGAGAGGGGAAAUGUCAAAUUUACUUGGUCUACAACAAAGAAACCCUUUUAUUUUAUUGCUGUUCUUCAUAUACAAGUUCACAGACAAGUCCUUCAACAAUGAGAAAAUGUUUAAAAAAAAUUGUGUAUAAAAAUGUUCAGCUGUUUCUUACAGAGUUAUCUCCUUAGUGUUAUGUAGGUGUCAGACCACCAAUUACUCCCUCAAAUUUUGAACGUAUGUAAAAGUAGGCCUACUGUAACACAAAAUAGUGCUUUUGAUGUCAUUGUUUACUUAAUUUAACCAACAAAUUUGCAGAAAUGAAACUUUUGGUGAAAGAGAAAUAUAUUUCGACCAUUUUGAGCUAAAAUUCACUUGUCUGUCAGUUUGCAUUAAAAAUUUUGGGAUUAAUGCGCUCUAUAGUACACUAAUUUAAGAUUUCCAGAAAACCAGGGGUUUAUUUUUGGAGUACCGCUGUUUUGAAGGUCAGAUGUACCACCUUAAUAGUCAAAUUUUGUAACAGAAUAUUAAAUUAAUCUUAAUUUGAAAACAAUUUGAUAUUGACAGAACAAAUAUCAAAUGAUCAUUUCAGAAAUACAUAAUUGUGCUUCAAGUGCAAAGACUUUUCUAACAAUUAACAGUUGUUUUCUGAGCUAGUUCUGAUUGGUCAGGUUUUAUUGUCUGUUUCUUGCUUUUGUUCUAUGGAUAGUUCAGUGGUAUCUUUUUUUUUCAGGAUAUGGUGUGCGUUAUUCAAAGGGAUCUUUUUAUGUAAUUUUGAAAUGAUAUAUACAUUUGAUAUUUGAUAGUAAUUGACCGAUUCAAUCCACAAAAAAACAUUCUUAUAAAGAAACCCUUUUAUUUUAUUGCUGUUCUUCAUAUUCAAGUUGACAGACAAGUCCUUCAACAAUGAGAAAAUGUAUCAAAAAAAUUGUUUAUAAAAAUGUUUUGGUUUGUGUACAUUAAUCUGAAUAAUAAUGACUUUCUUUUAUUUCCAAUUCUACCAAAGAGGACAGAAGAAGCAGCCCAAAGUGAAAGACUUGAAGAAAUAUAGGCAAUGUAAGUAGGAUUAAGUGAUUUUGCUGUUUGUGGCGUUUCCUCGAAGUAGCUGGUUACCUCCAAAUGGGACGACAGUCAUGGAUGUUGAGAUGGCCUACGUCGCAGACUCGCGAGGACGGGCGGCUCAGAUGUUCGCUAGCGACCUACGACAGCUACAGGCUUACUGCCUAUGCCUGUAGAAGGGGACUUUGAGAUGUCAUGCUGAAGUUUUCUGGAGAUUAUCUGGUUUCAUUUUUGGGAAGCAGUCCACAUGGAAAAAUGACGCAGCCAAACUAAAGAUACGCUGGAUUGGUUCUUUCUAAUGUCUCUGUUAUUAAGAAGCAGGAAAAAUUGAAGAAUAAGAGCGGGAAAAUGUCAAAUUUAGCAAAGAAAUUCUUUUAUUUUAUUGCUGUUCUUCAUAUACAAGUUCACAGACAAGUCCUUCAACAAUGAGAAAAUGUUUAAAAAAAUUGUACUUAAAAAUGUUUUGAUUUGUGUACAUUAAUCUGAAUAAUAAUGACUUUCUUUUAUUUCCAAUUCUACCAAAGAGGACAGAAGAAGCAGCCAAAGUGAAAGACUUGAAGAAAUAUAGGCAAUGUAAGUAGGAUUAAGUGAUUUUGCUGUUUGUGCGUGGCGUUCUCUCGAAGUAGCUGGUUACCUCCAAGUAGCUGGUUACCUCCAAAUGGAACGACAGUCAUGGAUGUUGAGAUGGCCUACGUCGCAGACUCGCGAGGACGGGCGGCUGGGAUGUUCGCUAGCGACCUACGACAGCUACAGGCUUUCUGCCUAUGCCUGUAGAAGGGGACUUUGAGAUGUCAUGCUGAAGUUUUCUGGAGAUUAUCUGGUUUCAUUUUUGGGAAGCAGUCCACAUGGAAAAAUGAUGCAGCCAAACUAAAGAUAUGCUCGAUUGGUUCUUUCUAAUGUCCCUGUUAUUAAGAAGCAGGAAAAAUUGAAGAAUAAGAGAGGGGAAAUGUCAAAUUUACUUGGUCUACAACAAAGAAACCCUUUUAUUUUAUUGCUGUUCUUCAUAUACAAGUUCACAGACAAGUCCUUCAACAAUGAGAAAAUGUUUAAAAAAAAUUGUGUAUAAAAAUGUUCAGCUGUUUCUUACAGAGUUAUCUCCUUAGUGUUAUGUAGGUGUCAGACCACCAAUUACUCCCUCAAAUUUUGAACGUAUGUAAAAGUAGGCCUACUGUAACACAAAAUAGUGCUUUUGAUGUCAUUGUUUACUUAAUUUAACCAACAAAUUUGCAGAAAUGAAACUUUUGGUGAAAGAGAAAAUAUAUUUCGACCAUUUUGAGCUAAAAUUCACUUGUCUGUCAGUUUGCAUUAAAAAUUUUGGGAUUAAUGCGCUCUAUAGUACACUAAUUUAAGAUUUCCAGAAAACCAGGGGUUUAUUUUUGGAGUACCGCUGUUUUGAAGGUCAGAUGUACCACCUUAAUAGUCAAAUUUUGUAACAGAAUAUUAAAUUAAUCUUAAUUUGAAAACAAUUUGAUAUUGACAGAACAAAUAUCAAAUGAUCAUUUCAGAAAUACAUAAUUGUGCUUCAAGUGCAAAGACUUUUCUAACAAUUAACAGUUGUUUUCUGAGCUAGUUCUGAUUGGUCAGGUUUUAUUGUCUGUUUCUUGCUUUUGUUCUAUGGAUAGUUCAGUGGUAUCUUUUUUUUCAGGAUAUGGUGUGCGUUAUUCAAAGGGAUCUUUUUAUGUAAUUUUGAAAUGAUAUACAUUUGAUAUUUGAUAGUAAUUGACCGAUUCAAUCCACAAAAAAACAUUCUUAUAAAGAAACCCUUUUAUUUUAUUGCUGUUCUUCAUAUUCAAGUUGACAGACAAGUCCUUCAACAAUGAGAAAAUGUAUCAAAAAAAUUGUUUAUAAAAAUGUUUUGGUUUGUGUACAUUAAUCUGAAUAAUAAUGACUUUCUUUUAUUUCCAAUUCUACCAAAGAGGACAGAAGAAGCAGCCCAAAGUGAAAGACUUGAAGAAAUAUAGGCAAUGUAAGUAGGAUUAAGUGAUUUUGCUGUUUGUGGCGUUUCCUCGAAGUAGCUGGUUACCUCCAAAUGGGACGACAGUCAUGGAUGUUGAGAUGGCCUACGUCGCAGACUCGCGAGGACGGGCGGCUCAGAUGUUCGCUAGCGACCUACGACAGCUACAGGCUUACUGCCUAUGCCUGUAGAAGGGGACUUUGAGAUGUCAUGCUGAAGUUUUCUGGAGAUUAUCUGGUUUCAUUUUUGGGAAGCAGUCCACAUGGAAAAAUGACGCAGCCAAACUAAAGAUACGCUGGAUUGGUUCUUUCUAAUGUCUCUGUUAUUAAGAAGCAGGAAAAAUUGAAGAAUAAGAGCGGGAAAAUGUCAAAUUUACUUGGUCUACAACAAAGAAACCCUUUUAUUUGAUUGCUGUUCAUCAUAUACAAGUUCACAGACAAGUCCUUCAACAAUGAGAAAAUGUUUAAAAAAAUUGUGCUUAAAAAUGUUUUGAUUUGUGUACAUUAAUCUGAAUAAUAAUGACUUUCUUUUAUUUCCAAUUCUACCAAAGAGGACAGAAGAAGCAGCCCAAAGUGAAAGACUUGAAGAAAUAUAGGCAAUGUAAGUAGGAUUAAGUGAUUUUGCUGUUUGUGUGGCGUUUCCUCGAAGUAGCUGGUUACCUCCAAAUGGGACGACAGUCAUGGAUGUUGAGAUGGCCUACGUCGCAGACUCGCGAGGACGGGCGGCUGGGAUGUUCGCUAGCGACCUACGACAGCUACAGGCUUUCUGCCUAUGCCUGUAGAAGGGGACUUUGAGAUGUCAUGCUGAAGUUUUCUGGAGAUUAUCUGGUUUCAUUUUUGGGAAGCAGUCCACAUGGAAAAAUGAUGCAGCCAAACUAAAGAUAUGCUCGAUUGGUUCUUUCUAAUGUCCCUGUUAUUAAGAAGCAGGAAAAAUUGAAGAAUAAGAGAGGGGAAAUGUCAAAUUUACUUGGUCUACAACAAAGAAACCCUUUUAUUUUAUUGCUGUUCUUCAUAUACAAGUUCACAGACAAGUCCUUCAACAAUGAGAAAAUGUUUAAAAAAAAUUGUGUAUAAAAAUGUUCAGCUGUUUCUUACAGAGUUAUCUCCUUAGUGUUAUGUAGGUGUCAGACCACCAAUUACUCCCUCAAAUUUUGAACGUAUGUAAAAGUAGGCCUACUGUAACACAAAAUAGUGCUUUUGAUGUCAUUGUUUACUUAAUUUAACCAACAAAUUUGCAGAAAUGAAACUUUUGGUGAAAGAGAAAUAUAUUUCGACCAUUUUGAGCUAAAAUUCACUUGUCUGUCAGUUUGCAUUAAAAAAUUUGGGAUUAAUGCGCUCUAUAGUACACUAAUUUAAGAUUUCCAGAAAACCAGGGUUUAUUUUUGGAGUACCGCUGUUUUGAAGGUCAGAUGUACCACCUUAAUAGUCGAAUUUUGUAACAGAAUAUUAAAUUAAUCUUAAUUUGAAAACAAUUUGAUAUUGACAGAACAAAUAUCAAAUGAUCAUUUCAGAAAUACAUAAUUUGUGCUUCAAGUGCAAAGACUUUUCUAACAAUUAACAGUUGUUUUCUGAGCUAGUUCUGAUUGGUCAGGUUUUAUUGUCUGUUUCUUGCUUUUGUUCUAUGGAUAGUUCAGUGGUAUCUUUUUUUUCAGGAUAUGGUGUGCGUUAUUCAAAGGGAUCUUUUUAUGUAAUUUUGAAAUGAUAUACAUUUGAUAUUUGAUAGUAAUUGACCGAUUCAAUCCACAAAAAAACAUUCUUAUAAAGAAACCCUUUUAUUUUAUUGCUGUUCUUCAUAUUCAAGUUGACAGACAAGUCCUUCAACAAUGAGAAAAUGUAUCAAAAAAAUUGUUUAUAAAAAUGUUUUGGUUUGUGUACAUUAAUCUGAAUAAUAAUGACUUUCUUUUAUUUCCAAUUCUACCAAAGAGGACAGAAGAAGCAGCCCAAAGUGAAAGACUUGAAGAAAUAUAGGCAAUGUAAGUAGGAUUAAGUGAUUUUGCUGUUUGUGGCGUUUCCUCGAAGUAGCUGGUUACCUCCAAAUGGGACGACAGUCAUGGAUGUUGAGAUGGCCUACGUCGCAGACUCGCGAGGACGGGCGGCUCAGAUGUUCGCUAGCGACCUACGACAGCUACAGGCUUACUGCCUAUGCCUGUAGAAGGGGACUUUGAGAUGUCAUGCUGAAGUUUUCUGGAGAUUAUCUGGUUUCAUUUUUGGGAAGCAGUCCACAUGGAAAAAUGACGCAGCCAAACUAAAGAUACGCUGGAUUGGUUCUUUCUAAUGUCUCUGUUAUUAAGAAGCAGGAAAAAUUGAAGAAUAAGAGCGGGAAAAUGUCAAAUUUAGGUCUACAACAAAGAAACCCUUUUAUUUGAUUGCUGUUCUUCAUAUACAAGUUCACAGACAAGUCCUUCAACAAUGAGAAAAUGUUUAAAAAAAAUUGUGUAUAAAAAUGUUUUGAUUUGUGUACAUUAAUCUGAAUAAUAAUGACUUUCUUUUAUUUCCAAUUCUACCAAAGAGGACAGAAGAAGCAGCCCAAAGUGAAAGACUUGAAGAAAUAUAGGCAAUGUAAGUAGGAUUAAGUGAUUUUGCUGUUUGUGGCGUUUCCUCGAAGUAGCUGGUUACCUCCAAAUGGGACGACAGUCAUGGAUGUUGAGAUGGCCUACGUCGCAGACUCGCGAGGACGGGCGGCUGGGAUGUUCGCUAGCGACCUACGACAGCUACAGGCUUUCUGCCUAUGCCUGUAGAAGGGGACUUUGAGAUGUCAUGCUGAAGUUUUCUGGAGAUUAUCUGGUUUCAUUUUUGGGAAGCAGUCCACAUGGAAAAAUGAUGCAGCCAAACUAAAGAUAUGCUCGAUUGGUUCUUUCUAAUGUCCCUGUUAUUAAGAAGCAGGAAAAAUUGAAGAAUAAGAGAGGGAAAAUGUCAAAUUUACUUGGUCUACAACAAAGAAACCCUUUUACUUGAUUGCUGUUCAUCAUAUACAAGUUCACAGACAAGUCCUUUAACAAUGAGAAAAUGUUUAAAAAAAAUUGUGCUUAAAAAUGUUUUGAUUUGUGUAUAUUAAUCUGAAUAAUAAUGACUUUCUUUUAUUUCCAAUUCUACCAAAGAGGACAGAAGAAGCAGCCCAAAGUGAAAGACUUGAAGAAAUAUAGGCAAUGUAAGUAGGAUUAAGUGAUUUUGCUGUUUGUGGCGUUUCCUCGAAGUAGCUGGUUACCUCCAAAUGGGACGACAGUCAUGGAUGUUGAGAUGGCCUACGUCGCAGACUCGCGAGGACGGGCGGCUGGGAUGUUCGCUAGCGACCUACGACAGCUACAGGCUUACUGCCUAUGCCUGUAGAAGGGGACUUUGAGAUGUCAUGCUGAAGUUUUCUGGAGAUUAUCUGGUUUCAUUUUUGGGAAGCAGUCCACAUGGAAAAAUGAUGCAGCCAAACUAAAGAUAUGCUCGAUUGGUUCUUUCUAAUGUCCCUGUUAUUAAGAAGCAGGAAAAAUUGAAGAAUAAGAGAGGGGAAAUGUCAAAUUUACUUGGUCUACAACAAAGAAACCCUUUUAUUUUAUUGCUGUUCUUCAUAUACAAGUUCACAGACAAGUCCUUCAACAAUGAGAAAAUGUUUAAAAAAAAUUGUGUAUAAAAAUGUUCAGCUGUUUCUUACAGAGUUAUCUCCUAGUGUUAUGUAGGUGUCAGACCACCAAUUACUCCCUCAAAUUUUGAACGUAUGUAAAAGUAGGCCUACUGUAACACAAAAUAGUGCUUUUGAUGUCAUUGUUUACUUAAUUUAACCAACAAAUUUGCAGAAAUGAAACUUUUGGUGAAAGAGAAAUAUAUUUCGACCAUUUUGAGCUAAAAUUCACUUGUCUGUCAGUUUGCAUUAAAAAUUUGGGAUUAAUGCGCUCUAUAGUACACUAAUUUAAGAUUUCCAGAAAACCAGGGGUUAUUUUUGGAGUACCGCUGUUUUGAAGGUCAGAUGUACCAACCUUAAUAGUCAGAAUUUUGUAACAGAAUAUUAAAUUAAUCUUAAUUUGAAAACAAUUUGAUAUUGACAGAACAAAUAUCAAAUGAUCAUUUCAGAAAUACAUUGUGCUUCAAGUGCAAAGACUUUUCUAACAAUUAACAGUUGUUUUCUGAGCUAGUUCUGAUUGGUCAGGUUUUAUUGUCUGUUUCUUGCUUUUGUUCUAUGGAUAGUUCAGUGGUAUCUUUUUUUUUCAGGAUAUGGUGUGCGUUAUUCAAAGGGAUCUUUUUAUGUAAUUUUGAAAUGAUAUACAUUUGAUAUUUGAUAGUAAUUGACCGAUUCAAUCCACAAAAAAACAUUCUUAUAAAGAAACCCUUUUAUUUUAUUGCUGUUCUUCAUAUUCAAGUUGACAGACAAGUCCUUCAACAAUGAGAAAAUGUAUCAAAAAAAUUGUUUAUAAAAAUGUUUUGGUUUGUGUACAUUAAUCUGAAUAAUAAUGACUUUCUUUUAUUUCCAAUUCUACCAAAGAGGACAGAAGAAGCAGCCCAAAGUAAAAGACUUGAAGAAAUAUAGGCAAUGUAAGUAGGAUUAAGUGAUUUUGCUGUUUGUGGCGUUUCCUCGAAGUAGCUGGUUACCUCCAAAUGGGACGACAGUCAUGGAUGUUGAGAUGGCCUACGUCGCAGACUCGCGAGGACGGGCGGCUGGAUGUUCGCUAGCGACCUACGACAGCUACAGGCUUUCUGCCUAUGCCUGUAGAAGGGGACUUUGAGAUGUCAUGCUGAAGUUUUCUGGAGAUUAUCUGGUUUCAUUUUUGGGAAGCAGUCCACAUGGAAAAAUGAUGCAGCCAAACUAAAGAUAUGCUCGAUUGGUUCUUUCUAAUGUCCCUGUUAUUAAGAAGCAGGAAAAAUUGAAGAAUAAGAGAGGGAAAAUGUCAAAUUUACUUGGUCUACAACAAAGAAACCCUUUUAUUUGAUUGCUGUUCAUCAUAUACAAGUUCACAGACAAGUCCUUUAACAAUGAGAAAAUGUUUAAACAAAAUUGUGCUUAAAAAUGUUUUGAUUUAUGUACAUUAAUCUGAAUAAUAAUGACUUUCUUUAUUUCCAAUUCUACCAAAGAGGACAGAAGAAGCAGCCCAAAGUGAAAGACUUGAAGAAAUAUAGGCAAUGUAAGUAGGAUUAAGUGAUUUUGCUGUUUGUGGCGUUUCCUCGAAGUAGCUGGUUACCUCCAAAUGGGACGACAGUCAUGGAUGUUGAGAUGGCCUACGUCGCAGACUCGCGAGGACGGGCGGCUGGGAUGUUCGCUAGCGACCUACGACAGCUACAGGCUUCCUGCCUAUGCCUGUAAAAGGGGACUUUGAGAUGUCAUGCUGAAGUUUUCUGGAGAUUAUCUGGUUUCAUUUUUGGGAAGCAGUCCACAUGGAAAAAUGAUGCAGCCAAACUAAAGAUAUGCUCAAUUGGUUCUUUCUAAUGUUCCUGUUAUUAAGAAGCAGGAAAAAUUGAAGAAUAAGAGAGGGAAAAUGUCAAAUUUACUUGGUCUACAACAAAGAAACCCUGAUUGCUGUUGAUCAUAUACAAGUUCACAGACAAGUCCUUCAACAAUGAGAAAAUGUUUUAAAAAAAUUGUGCUUAAAAAUGUUUUGAUUUGUGUACAUUAAUCUGAAUAAUAAUGACUUUCUUUUGUUUCCAAUUCUACCAAGGAAAAUAGCCAUACAAUUUUUAUAGAUUUAUAGAUAUAGAAAUGAAAAUGUACAUAAGACAUCAAACAAUAUAUUUAUUUGAAUUUGUUUCAUUCAUAUCUCCAAACACGAGUUGAUUAUAUAGGGAAUCACUGAAGCAUGAAGUGCCCCCCCUUUUUUUAUGUCAGUCAGAGGGGCCCCUUAUAAAAAGUGCUGGAUCUGCCACUGAUUAAACAUGUUUGUGAGUGCUCAACCAACAAUGGACUAACCUGUUACAAUAAGAAUAAACUGAAAAAUAUGGUUCUAUUGGCUUUACUCCAUAGAUUGGUACGAGGCACAUAAAUCACAACGAACAUAGAAAGUAGACACAAAGAAAUAAAUCAUGUUUUUAUGCCCCAUUCAUGGGCAUUAUGUUUUCUGGUAUGUCUGUCCGUUAUUUCGUUCGUACGUCUGUCCGUCCCGCUUCAGGUUAAAGUGUUUGGUCGAGGUAGUUUUUGAUGAACUUGAAGUCCAAUCAACUUGAAACUAAGUACUCAUGUUCCCUAUAUGAUAUUUCUAAUUUUAAUGUUUAAUGAGAGAUUUUCUUCCCUUUUCACGGUCCACUGAAUAUAGAAAAUGAUAGUGCAAAUGGGUGGGGCAUCCGUGUAGUGUUGACACAUUCUUGUUUUAACUGAAGUAUCAUUAAUAUUCACAGACUAAUUGAGUUUCGUGGGGUGGAACCAGGGUUUUCACAUGAAGCUCGAUUUUUAAGCAAGACAAAAUUUUGUUUUUUUACAUCAUUCAUAUCCUAUUUGCCAAAAAUAAAUCCAGAAUAUUUUUUUGUAACUGAAUAUAUAAGUCAGAUUAUUUGUUUAAACAUUACAGAUUAGCUUUGGGCUUGUCCUUAAGGAUUGAGACUGAAAAUGGCAAUUGGAUCAGACUUUUAAAGUAAGUUUUAAUCAUUACAUAGAUUUUUUAAUUUCUGAACUCAAUUCAUGUGUAAAAUGGGAGUUUGCGUGGGGUAUAAUAUUUUUGACCUGUCUGUCCUGUUCGUCAGCCUGGUUCUUGUCAUUGCAACUCCUCUAAAACCACAAUUUCAUAAAACAAGGUAGUAUGUACACAAUACUAUGUAGUUGUGCAUAUAAAGAAGAAAUUAUGAGUCAAUUUUUUUUUCUAGGGGUUACGUUAUGCCCCUCUGAACUUAAAUUAAGGCCUAUACUGCUGUAACAGUUGCACUACAAGUCCUUUGAAACUGCACAACAGAAUUUCAUGGAUCUUUAAAGUUAAUGAGGACAGUAUGGCAUAUCCACAAGAAAUGUUUAUCAGUUGACUUUUUUCUAUCAAUACAAGCACAACAGAUUUCUUUAACAAGUAUAUCUAUAGUGCUUGGAUUGACCUGUAAAAGGAAUAUUUCAUACAAGUAUACUGCUUUUAUUAUUUGUUUAUAGGCUGAUGUAAGGACUGGUUCCAUGGUGUUGAAAGUAAGAAUUGACGAUCUGAUACUGCAAACAUAUUGGUAGAUAUACCUAAAUUUUUAUCCCCCACAUAACACCAUAAUAUCUCGGACAAGUUCUAUAAUGGUGAACGAUCAACUUUUUUUAAUAUAAUUAUGGCCUAUGGAAAUAUUAAAUAAGUGCAACGAGUGGGACAUUGGAACUAUAUUCUUUUAUUUUAAUCUAAAAGUGUUUGGAUGUCAAUUAAAUAACGAUUCGGGUAUCGUAAAGAUUGCAUUACAUGGAGAUAUUCAGCUCCAGAGGUAAGAGGGUACAUAAUUGUCCAAGAUAGUAGAGAUACUGUCAACGUUUGAAACAGAAAUUGUUUUGGGGAUAUCAUUGCUUUCUAGCAAUCUGUAGACUUAUACCAUUGGCUCAGGGCCAUGCCCUCACGUCAACCAUUUUAUUCUAAACAUUAAGGAACAUCUCAGAUUCUUAUGAUUGUCUUGCUUGAAAAGGUAAAAAAAACCAAAGGGGUGGAACUUAAACAACUUUCCUAUAAUGUUCUUUUCAUAAUCUUCAUGUUUGAUAUUUCCCUCGACUUAUAUGCAUGUUUUUAACAACACGGAAAGUCAGAAUUGAGCAGUAUUUAUAUUUAGUGUUUUUAUAAAUUUAGAAACACGUCAGAAGGAAUUCCCCAGUUUUGAUAAAAAUGCAAGAGUUCUCUGAAUUCCUGAAAAAUUCUAUUUCUGUCAUAAAAACUGAUGUGGAGUUUUUCUUAUAUGUCACCGUUAUGAAACUGAUAUUUGAUAUUGUACUUCCAUAAAGAAAUAGAGAACCUUUAACAUUUAAUAUACGUUCUUGCUUCAGGGUUUGUUUAGGUAAUUAUGUGCAUGUGUAUAGUUUUCUCGACUUCAAGGGAUAUUAGAUUGAAUGGUUGCUCUGGAUUCCCCACUCAACCUGUGAACAGUAUAUCCAAGGAUUUGUAUAGUAAGAUCCUUGGUAUAUAUAUCUAAAUAAUAUAUAUGUUCCUGACUCAACUGAUUCUAAAACAAUACAACACAUCGAGAAAAAUUAACUUGUUCUAUCGAUAAACGUCGUAUUAUAUUAAAAACCAUCGCAAUUUAAACCAUGGAAUGUGUACAGAAAUAAGUCAUGACCAUUGACCCAAAGGAAAUUAAAUAUUUAAAGAGUUAGGAAUGGGGUUCCUCCUAGAAUUAACGUAGGAAAAAUUAUAGGUGAUAAGAUACCAAGUGAAAUACGUUCUCUCACUCUGAGUCUCAGUGACUGCUGUGGAAAGUAAACUUGGAAGUGAUAGUACAAAAAUAAAACACAACAAGUACAUUGUUCGAACUGUUACACUUGUAUCUGGGAUUAGUUAUUUUGUAACUAUUCAGAUUACGUAAAUUAUAUUUUACAUGUGCAGUUGAAUUAGUUUUAAAAAUAAUAAUAUCCAGCUACAUGCAUGUAUACAUGUAUCAAUGAAAACAAUGGCAAUCGUAUCCCUCAGAGCAAUCUGCUCUUUGAUUGACUUUUUUUAAUUUAUCUAGAUUUAAACUAAAUAUCCACUGGAUUUCUUGAGUAGGAGUUAUGAAACAAAGUACCAAUCAAUCAACCAACUUUCUAUCAUUUAAUAUCCACAGAAAUCCAUGUUUUCCUUAAUCACAAUGUAAAUCAUUUAAUCCACUGUCGAUUUUUGAAGAGUUUACAGCUAAUUUCCUAAUGCUUGUAGAGUAAAACGUUGGUUGGCUUGCUUGCUUUGUUUGUAUAAUUGUUUAUUCAAGCUUUGUAAUUAAGAUUGACAUCUCCAAACAAUAUAUAUGACAUAGUUAAACCUGUAUAUAUCAUAUUUAAAUUCAAUUGGACAUUUUCCCAAUAUAAUUGUACAAUAUACAAACAAAGCAAGCAAACUAACCAAAGUCUUCAUCUGCAUGCAUUAGGAAAUUAGCUGUAUAUAACUGAUUCAACUUUGUAUUACAGGUAAGCAUCACAGCUUGUCCUGUUGGAUACUGGCCGGAGUAGAAUUUGGAUCUUUUUGA
This 16968-nucleotide long non-coding RNA is filed under the name Mytilus galloprovincialis (Mediterranean mussel). The record is from RNAcentral. Lineage: Eukaryota; Metazoa; Mollusca; Bivalvia; Mytilida; Mytilidae.